Non-coding RNA from Aegilops tauschii subsp. strangulata, 1229 nucleotides. NCBI's taxonomy places the organism in Eukaryota, Viridiplantae, Streptophyta, Magnoliopsida, Poales, Poaceae. The record is from RefSeq and is a predicted model, not a curated record.
GCUCUUGCGUUGUAGUUUGCUUUGCGGUGUUGUGUUUGGCCUGUUCAGAUGUGGUGUUUGUGCUAUUCUCGCUGUUCGUAGUGAGUGUAGUUUCUUAUAACUGAAAUUCUGCUUUCUAUAAAACUAUGGUAUGCCUAGGCGUACUCUCGAAUAAGAAAAACAUCAAUACCUAUAAAGCACUAAAGCAGCUUCCAGGUGACUCAAGCCCUCUGUUUUAUAUUUUUUUGUCCCAUAAUAUAAGAGCGUUUUUGACACUACACGAGUGUAAAUAAUGCUCUUAUAUUAUGAGAUGGAGGAAGUAUUUACUUCUAUAUGUAUUUUUACAUGAAUUUUAAACCCCUUUCAUAAUAAAUUAGUAGACUAGUCCAUCUAUUUUUUGUAAGUUUAAAUUUCGUGAAUUUGAAAGUUCGGAAAAGUUGAAGUUGAAUUUCGGAAAAAUAUUCCUUUGAGCCAGAGGAAACAGGGCAGGUAGCCCAGCAGCCCACAACUACUCGUACACCUUCUCGCACACAGCUCUUACCUCAUCCGUUACUCAAAAAAAACUAAAAAAUUCUUACCUCAUCCUCGUCCCCUUCUCUGGUCCUUCACAGGCGGCGACCCAUCUCGUUCGCCGGCGGUGACCCAUCUCCUUUGCCGCCGCCGGGAAAUAAGCUGCACCAUCUGAGCUUAUUUCCUCCUCCACGCUAGACCUCUCCCGCCAUGUAGCAGCUGCCUUCUCCUAGUGCAGAUCACUAGACCGCAGCCCUGCCUGCAGCAUUACAGCCCUACAUUACACCUGGAUCUUUUCUUUGCGGGGCAACAUGUACACGUGUACCUUAUACGAAGGUAAACUUCAGUAUAGCAAAGACCUAUUCGUACAUUUCGAAUAGCAGCUGGUGGUGGUUCUCGAGUGCAAGAAGAUGUGGUCUCUGGCCGGUUCUUGGGAUUUCUGCCAAGCAUGCAUUCUGCAAGAUGCAAGUCAGUCAUCAAGCUUCUUCCUGUCCAAGCAAUCGGCGUGUACUUGAGCCAGGAGGAGAGAGUUCAACCCAUUUUCUGAACUUGAGACCUGUGGCGUUUUUUGAUCCACGAAGGACCUGUGCCAUUGCUCGCCUGGAUGAAAGAUCAUUAGGAGAAAAAAGAAGAAAUUCAGAGCGCGCGCGCACACACACACGAGCCAUCAUUUGUUGGUCGAACUGAAACCAUGUGAUAACUGAUACUAGUUGUGCAAUGAAUUAAUGGUGCUCACGGCA